This 261-nucleotide non-coding RNA is filed under the name Gottschalkia purinilytica. Its description in RNAcentral is "Clostridium purinilyticum T-box sequence". It matches the Rfam family "T-box leader". From Rfam's summary of the family: Uncharged tRNA acts as the effector for transcription antitermination of genes in the T-box leader family. T-boxes are found upstream of many aminoacyl-tRNA synthetase genes and some amino acid biosynthetic genes usually in Gram-positive bacteria. Lineage: Bacteria; Bacillati; Bacillota; Tissierellia; Tissierellales; Gottschalkiaceae. The record is from RNAcentral.
AAAAAUAUUAUGAUGGAGACAAAGGUACUUUGUUAUUAACUACAGAGAGCUAACAUUUGCUGAAAGUUAGUGUUAAUACUGGUAUAUAAUGAUCACUCCUGAAUUGCCUAUUUGAAAAGAAAUAUCUUAGUAGAUUAGGCCGGCUGCUACCGUUAUAUAGAUAGGAUUAAAAGAUACUAAUUAGCUUUUGAUCUGAUGUUGAGACAUCUGUGAAGGUGUGAAAUAGGGUGGUACCACGGAAGCAAAUCUUUCGUCCCUAUA